CAUAUCAAUAAGCGGAGGAAAAGAAACUAACAAGGAUUCCCCUAGUAACGGCGAGUGAAGCGGGAAGAGCUCAAAUUUGAAAUCUGGUAGCCUUCGGUUGCCCGAGUUGUAAUCUAGAGAAAUGUUUUCCGUGCCGGCCCAUGUACAAGUCCCUUGGAACAGGGCGUCAUAGAGGGUGAGAAUCCCGUCCUUGACAUGGACCCCCGGUGCUUUGUGAUACAUUUUCAACGAGUCGAGUUGUUUGGGAAUGCAGCUCAAAAUGGGUGGUGAAUUCCAUCUAAAGCUAAAUAUUGGCGAGAGACCGAUAGCGAACAAGUACCGUGAGGGAAAGAUGAAAAGCACUUUGGAAAGAGAGUUAAACAGUACGUGAAAUUGUUGAAAGGGAAACGAUUGAAGUCAGUCAUGCUCUUUGGUAUUUAUAUCAUUGAGUGGGGUCAACAUCAGUUUUGAUCGAUGGAUAAAGGCACUAGGAAUGUAGCACUCUCGGGUGAACUUAUAGCCUAGCGUCAUAUACAUUGAUUGGGACUGAGGAACGCAGCAUGCCUUUAUGGCCGGGAUUCGUCCACGUACAUGCUUAGGAUGUGACA
RNAcentral lists this ribosomal RNA (587 nucleotides) under Naganishia albidosimilis. Its description in RNAcentral is "eukaryotic LSU rRNA". It matches the Rfam family "Eukaryotic large subunit ribosomal RNA", at positions 39 to 634 of the family's 3401-position model. The record is from RNAcentral. Lineage: Eukaryota; Fungi; Basidiomycota; Tremellomycetes; Filobasidiales; Filobasidiaceae.